CCGAGAGAGUCCGCUGAGCGCGGCGCCGAAGGGGAAAGCAAAAGCUCUCAGGCAAAAGGAUCGGGU
Molecule: non-coding RNA, 66 nt
Filed under: bovine gut metagenome
Description: Glycine riboswitch
Rfam family: Glycine riboswitch aptamer
About the family: This family represents the bacterial glycine riboswitch.
Source: RNAcentral